CGCGAUGCCCUUUCUUUUCGAAUCGACCUCCUCGCGCGUCGAAUCUUGCCAAAACCACAAGGAAUAUAUUACAAUAGGCUAAGGGAAUAUAACCCAAUCGAAAAGAAUCAAAAAAUAUCGAAAAUCACGAAAUUUGCAAAACCCGAGCCCCGGGCCCACUUCUCGAAAAAUUACAAAAGUCACAUCACCGGAUUCCUCGUCUCGCCACGAGUCCGUACAAAUAAAAUUUCCCAAAAUUGGAAUUCAUUUGACCCCUCAAAUCAUCAAAUCUUAUUUUCAAAUCCCUAGGUCUAAAUCCUCAAUAUUUCUACAAUUUUCAUGCUCAAAUCCAUACAUAAUUGAUGUACUUAACUCAAAAUAGGUGGGGAUAACUUACCUUCACAUUGAUGAUGAAAAUACCCUCUUGAAACUCCCCAAAAAUCGUCCAUACUUUGAAGAAAUGAAGAAAAGUGAGCUAAAUCCGUGUAUAAAAGAAUCUGCCUGUGCUUCGUCGAGUUGUACCUUGCACUUGUGUUAUACAAGUUGUAGAUCCUAUUAAAAUU
Molecule: long non-coding RNA, 542 nt
Filed under: Nicotiana tabacum (common tobacco)
Lineage: Eukaryota; Viridiplantae; Streptophyta; Magnoliopsida; Solanales; Solanaceae
Description: long non-coding RNA (NTAB_LNC011202)
Source: RNAcentral